AGACCCGAAACCCGGUGAUCUAGCCAUGGGCAGGUUGAAGGUUGGGUAACACUAACUGGAGGACCGAACCGACUAAUGUUGAAAAAUUAGCGGAUGACCUGUGGCUGGGGGUGAAAGGCCAAUCAAACCGGGAGAUAGCUGGUUCUCCCCGAAAGCUAUUUAGGUAGCGCCUCGUGAACUCAUCUCCGGGGGUAGAGCACUGUUUCGGCUAGGGGGCCAUCCCGGCUUACCAACCCGAUGCAAACUGCGAAUACCGGAGAAUGUUAUCACGGGAGACACACGGCGGGUGCUAACGUCCGUCGUGAAGAGGGAAACAACCCAGACCGCCAGCUAAGGUCCCAAAGUCAUGGUUAAGUGGGAAACGAUGUGGGAAGGCCCAGACAGCCAGGAUGUUGGCUUAGAAGCAGCCAUCAUUUAAAGAAAGCGUAAUAGCUCACUGGUCGAGUCGGCCUGCGCGGAAGAUGUAACGGGGCUAAACCAU
Molecule: ribosomal RNA, 481 nt
Filed under: Salmonella enterica subsp. enterica serovar Heidelberg
Lineage: Bacteria; Pseudomonadati; Pseudomonadota; Gammaproteobacteria; Enterobacterales; Enterobacteriaceae
Also listed under: 22 other names
Description: partial 23S ribosomal RNA
Rfam family: Bacterial large subunit ribosomal RNA
Source: RNAcentral